This 526-nucleotide transfer RNA is filed under the name Vibrio penaeicida. Its description in RNAcentral is "partial miscellaneous RNA". The stretch from base 271 to 343 matches the Rfam family "tRNA". The record is from RNAcentral. Lineage: Bacteria; Pseudomonadati; Pseudomonadota; Gammaproteobacteria; Vibrionales; Vibrionaceae.
AAAUACUGGGUGAGUCGUAACAGGUAGCCUAGGGAACCUGGGCUGAUCACCUCCUAUACGAUGAUUAUCGUGAUGAGUACCCACACAGNUGAUACGGUUUAUACAGUAAAGAGAGCAUGGGCGUUUCUACACGUUCAAUUUUUUUUCUCGUUAUAAAAACGAAGAAAACACGUUGUCCCGUUCGUCUAGAGGCCUAGGACACCGCCCUUUCACGGCGGUAACAGGGGUUCGACUCCCCUACGGGAUACCAUCUGACUAAGCGUACACGGUGGGUCGUUAGCUCAGUUGGUAGAGCAGUUGACUUUUAAUCAAUUGGUCGCAGGUUCGAAUCCUGCACGACCCACCAUUUCCUGCCACAGGAAAUCAAAAUAUAUGUGGGCGAUUAGCUCAGUUGGGAGAGCACCUGCCUUACAAGCAGGGGGUCACUGGUUCGAGCCCGGUAUCGCCCACCAUUCUCUAAGUAUUUUUGGAUAAUCUUUCCAAACCACUUCAUUAAAACGUAUGUGGUUGGAAUUUUUGACGCCUA